GAGUGUGAUCACGAGUCAGCUGGGCUUUCAGCUCGCGGCAAAUACACAAACAAUCCCUCCCUCCACACACACACACACACACACACACACACACACACACUCAGCCUGUCGCUCUCACAGACACCAUUAGCACGGCUCUCUGGUGGAAAUAGAAAGCUAGAGAUAAAGAGAGAGAGACAGGAGGAUCAAAAGAAAAACAAAGAGGGCAAACAGGUGGAAUUAGGAAGAGAAACAGCAAACUAUUCCUCAGACGACAGGAACAUCCCCUCUGGGACGACAGGAGAGAGAGAGAGAGAGAGAGAGUUUUACCUUCCUCCUUAUCAACACACAUCUCAUGCUCCUCCUCUCCUCACAGUGACAGGUGAAACCUCUGCAGAUCUCAGCGGCUUGCAUCGUCUUUUGAGAGUGCCUUGUGUGUGUGGGUGUACUGUCUGCAUUCAGACGUCCGCACGUAGUGCAUGUGUGUGUGUGUGUGUGUGUUUUAGAGAGGCCGUUUUUCCCAGGGUGGUGUGUGAAGUGGGUCGUUCCUGACUGGAAUGAGAAUAAGCGGGGUGCCGUGUGACCCUGUGAGCGCCGAGCAUCGGGCCUCAAUGCCGCUGCUGUUGCUAUAGUUAUCAGUUAACCUAUCAGAACGAGUCCUGCUCAGAUGAACCAUCUCUCACCGUCCUUCUCUCACGUCCAGACCAAGUUAUGACUCAAUUAUUAGGAGACGUGAGUCACUGUUAUUUUAUUUUGUAAUGGAGGCUUUGCUGUUGAUGGAGGUUAACCUGAAUCAUUCCCAGCACAUAGUGAGGCACUACUGGACAAAUAAAGGUUCUUUAUUGGCUUUGAUGGUUCCAUAAAGAACCUUUAACAUCCAUGGAAUCUUUCCAAUCCACAAAGAAUUCUUUAUAGUGGAAAAAGUUUCUUUAGUGUGGAAGCUUAUUUCCACCACAAAACAAAAAAUAAUGUCACUGUGACUUUAAAUCUCACAAUUUUGACUUUUUUCUCAGAAUUUGAAGUUUGAAUCCCACAAUUCAGUCUUUUUUUCUUAGAAUUGUGAGUUUAUGGCUCACAAUUUCAACUUUUUUUCUCAGAAUUGCAAGGUUAUAUUUUACAAUUCGGUCUAUUUUCUCAGAGUUUGCGAGUUUUAUAUUUCAUAGUUUGGACUUUCAUAGUUCUUUCUCAUAAUUAUGAGUUUUUGUCUUACAUUUCAGUCUUUUUUUCUCAAAAAUUGCGAGUUUAUAUCUCACAAUUGAAUUUCAAGUUAGUAUCUCCCAGUUCUGACUUUUUUCUUAGAUUUGCAAGUUGAAAUCUCACAAUUCGGCCAUUUGCGAGUUUAUAUCUCAUAGUUUGGACGUUUCUCUCAGAAUUCAAAGUUUAUAUUUUAUAUUUUGAACACAGUUCUGACUUUUUGCUCAGAAUUGCUUAUAUCUCAUAAUUCGGUCUUUUUUCUCAGAAUAGCGAGUUCUCAUGAUGGCGAGGGGAUAAAAGUCAGAAUUGUGAGAUAAAAAAAUCAUAUGUACUUUUUUUAUAUAUAUUUUUUAAUGCCGUGGUGGAAAAAAGCUUCCAUAGUUUAGAUUAUUAAAAACUUCUUUUAAUAAGAACUGAGCUCUGAGUAAGCAGAACUGGUUCUUCAGUGUCAUCGCUGCGAAACUCUCUUUUGGAAGCUUUAUUUUGAGAGUGUGAGAUCAGUGGAGAUUAAUCUCCCGUGGAUCUGGUCGACUGUGUGGGAACUGGUGGUUAUAUACACAUCCAAACACAAAAGCAUGCUGGGUAGAGGUGCAGGGGGGUUGUUGCAUUUCUCUGUCUGUUCUGUUCGAUUCCCUCUUUUCAUUCAAGCAGCUUGAGGCCGCUUUCUCAUACAUUGGGUCGCUAAGGUGCAGGAGGCCGAUGGAGAAUAACAGCCCUGCUUGUGUAAGGAACACACACACACACACACACACACACACACACACACACACACACACACACACACA
Long non-coding RNA from Cyprinus carpio carpio, 1958 nucleotides. NCBI's taxonomy places the organism in Eukaryota, Metazoa, Chordata, Actinopteri, Cypriniformes, Cyprinidae. The record is from Ensembl.